This 253-nucleotide ribosomal RNA is filed under the name uncultured bacterium. Its description in RNAcentral is "partial 16S ribosomal RNA". It matches the Rfam family "Bacterial small subunit ribosomal RNA", at positions 524 to 776 of the family's 1533-position model. The record is from RNAcentral.
GACAGAGGUGCCAAGCGUUAGGCGGAAUCACUGGGCGUAAAGCGCGUGUAGGCGGUCCGGUAAGUCCGCUGUGAAAGUCGAGGGCUCAACCCUCGAAUGCCGGUGGAUACUGUCGGGCUUGAGUACGGGAGAGGCGAGUGGAAUUCCUGGUGUAGCAGUGAAAUGCGUAGAGAUCGGGAGGAACAUCAGUUGCGAAGGCGGCUCUCUGGACCAGUACUGACGCUGAGGCACGAAAGCGUGGGGAGCAAACAGG